UGGCGAUGAUUAUAAAUGAGAAAGGAUUUUGAGUGGGGAGUGUGAACAAAACUCUUAUGGGAUUGAGAGGAAAANNAAAACCUAAAUCGAAAUCGAAGGAGAAACGUACAUAUGAUUUUUCCCUUUUUUGAUUGAUGGUUAUUUUUCUUUCAUCCCUAUCCCUCGAUGACGGUCGUACCAAUCUGUACACUUGAUAUGAGCCAU
Molecule: non-coding RNA, 204 nt
Organism: Arabis alpina (gray rockcress)
Lineage: Eukaryota; Viridiplantae; Streptophyta; Magnoliopsida; Brassicales; Brassicaceae
Source: Rfam